CAGAGUCAAAAUCAGUCUAUAGAAAUCAAAAGUUCAUGCUUUUCACUAUUGUUACAUUGUUUCCAGUAUUAGCUGAUUCGUUUGUCCAUUAAUUGGAUAUUAGCAUUUAAAUAAAAAGUUGAUAAGGAAAAAAUAAAAAUAAAACAUUUUCCUUUGUCUGUAAAAUUUUCUUCUGGGGGUGCUGGGGAGUAAAUUAGCUACAAAAUCAAUUACAAGGAGAAUGAUUAAAUAUAAAGAGUUAAAAACAGGAAUAUAAUUUCCAAGUGCUCUUUUCCAAAUAUUAUCGCUACAAGGUUUGAACAGGAGAAAGCCAGUAGAGAUAAGAAAAAUCAAAACUGAAUAAACUUGAUGUUAAAUCAGCUUCUAUUUCUUCUUGUCUUUCCUCCCAUUUUCUCCAGUUGCCAUGCUACUUCUGAGGAUCUAGGAUAAUACUGAAAGAAGCACAUAUGGGGCACAAGAUUUCUAGCACUUUAAAGCUUAAUGCUUUAAAAGUAUGUUUUGAGGCUUCUUUAAAAGUUUAUGGAUCUUGCCCAGAGCUGGAGUCGGAGCCCCCGAGGCUGCCGCCGAAAGUGCCCGCGAGCCCGCGGCCCAGCCGAAGCUCUUUCCCGCCGCCUCUCCGCGCCUCGUCCCUGUCCAGACCCACCCGACCCCCAACCCAGCCUGGUCCCCUGACUCUCAGUCCGGCCCGGUCUGGCCUCCCAGCGGGGUCACGCAACCGCCCCGGGGACGAUGAAAGGGGGAUAAAUGGUGCCCAAGGUGGACAGCGGUGCCUUCCUGCUGCUCUUCCUGCUCGUGCUGUCACUGAGCCGUUGCGGCCAGUGGGGACCCUCUGCUGAGACAGGCUCUGUGUCCAGCACCUGCUCCGGGUCACGCUCUGGGGGAGUAGGAGUCGCACGACUGUCUCAGCCUUGGAUUUGACUUUGGCCUCAUCCACCUAGGGGCCACGGGAGAACCAUGUGGGUUACCAAGUUCAAGGGGAGAGAGAAGAAACUGAUGAAAAUAGAAGCUCAUCUGGGACUGCCUUCCUUCUCUGGCUCCACCCUUGACUUCUUCAGAGCUUGGGCUUUAAGCCGUGAGCUCCAUCUCAUUCCCUGGGCCGCAAGAAGCUCACUGGGCCCGCGUCUCUGGAGGCUGUUGAGCGGGCCCUUCCUCUGUCUCCAUAGUCGACGGCUCGCUGGAGAAACCCAGGAUCUCCGGCUGCCUGGACAUUUGCAUUGCUGUCCCCUCGGGUUUUGUCUCAGGCUGUGCCUGGGGCUGUGCCUCUCCCUCAGGCUCCAGCUUGGUGGCAGACUUCUUGUCAGAGCUAAGUUCGGGGGUCCACAAGGGUUCAGUUCCCCGGGAACUCUCCCCCUCCUUGUUGGUGGCCACAGAGGGAGAUCCCCGUGCCUUGGGCUGCAUCCAGCAGUGGCUGAGGAUCUCGUCGAUGUGGAGCCGCCGGUUGACGUCGGGCUGCAGCAUGCGGUAGAUGAGGUCUUUGCACUCGCCUGUCAGGUGCUUGGAGCGUGGGAAGUUGACGCGGUGCUCCUUCUGGAUACGCAGCAUCUUCCUGAUGUUGGAGUCAUCGUAGGGCAUGGAGCCGCAGACCAUGAUGUAGAGGAUCACGCCUAGGCUCCAGAUGUCGUACACCUUGGGCUGGUAGGGAAUGCCCUGCAGCACCUCUGGGGCCGCAUACGCUGGUGACCCACAGAAGGUCUUGCUUAAUGCCAUUCGACCACUGUCAUCCCGCAGGCAGCGCUUGGAGAAGCUGAAGUCGGACAGCUUGAUGUUGAAGUCCUUGUCAAGGAGAAGGUUGUCACACUUGAGGUCCCGGUGGACGACGUCCAGGUCGUGGCAGUACUUGAUGGCCAAGGAAAGCUGGUGGAACUUCUUGCGAGCUUCGUCCUCAUGCAGGGCUCCCCGGGUUUUGAUUAACUCGAGGAGGUCGCCCUGGACCGCGAGCUCCAUGACGAUGUAGACCUUGCCAUGUGAUGUCUCAAAGAUCUCGUAGGUCUUAAUGAUGGAGCAGUGGUUUAACAUGGCCAGAAUCUCAAUUUCCCGGGGAAGGAAUUUCUCCAAGAAGUCUGCGGGGGCCUUCUUGCGGUCAAUGAUCUUGAUUGCCACAUUGAACUUCAGGCGCUCAGAGUAAGCAGAUUUUACUUUUGCAUAGGAGCCCUCUCCUAAAUUUAUCCCCAGGAGGUAGCCUCGUCGCUUGAGGACAGCAGCGUCAUCCAUGGUGCCAGGAGUGCCCAGUGCCUCUGAGGCUGCCCUCUACAGCCCCGAGGCGCAUGGGCCAGCAGUGUGCUCAUUUACAUCCUGGAUAGAGAGUCCUUUGGGCUGGCCAGGCCUGCUGUUCCUGCCUCCUAGAGGCCAAGACUCUGGAGUGGAACAUUUGGCACUGUCUCCCAGAUGACUUCAGCGAGUGAAGUCACAAAGGAGGAGUGCCCUAGGGGAAUGAGACCCUGGCCUGAGGCACUUGGACUUGGAAUCCUGGAAGGCUGACCAGUAGGCUGGAGCAGACAAGAUGAGCAGAAAGUGGCCUCGUGUCUUGCUGGGACCUGAGAUUCUCACAAAUAUCUUGAAGUGACCAGAGCCCUCCUGGAGUGUCACAGCCUAGGCUGCUGUCACUGGGGCUUCACAGA
Molecule: long non-coding RNA, 2618 nt
Filed under: Pan troglodytes (chimpanzee)
Lineage: Eukaryota; Metazoa; Chordata; Mammalia; Primates; Hominidae
Description: long non-coding RNA NONPTRT013692
Source: RNAcentral